AACCCAUGGUGAGGGCACCUUCGCAAAAGCUCCUUCUAUCUCUCCCAUUCCUCAUAGAGUGUUUUUAGAUCCAUCUGCACAAAAGAGGAGAUAUCAUUACGUAAUUU
This 107-nucleotide small nucleolar RNA is filed under the name Gossypium hirsutum (cotton). RNAcentral describes it as "Plant small nucleolar RNA R71". It matches the Rfam family "Plant small nucleolar RNA R71". Rfam says of the family: R71 is a member of the C/D box family of snoRNAs containing the C (UGAUGA) and D (CUGA) box motifs. Lineage: Eukaryota; Viridiplantae; Streptophyta; Magnoliopsida; Malvales; Malvaceae. The record is from Rfam by way of RNAcentral.